AAAAAGGGGAAAGAGCGCUAGCCCCACGCCCCACCAGCCCCAGAUUCGUUCCACAUCCCCCGGUUCCUUGCCCUCUCCCUCUCUCUGGACGACCUCCCCCGCCGCCGCCGCCACCACGUCUUCUCUUCUCCCCUCACCUCUCCCCAUCCACCAGCGACCUCCUCCUGUUCCCCUCCCGCAGAUUGAGCAGCAGGCUGCGAGGGCACGUCGUGGCAGGAGGUGGAGCAGAGCGGAUCUGCGGGUCGUCGCCGUUCUUCCGCUCGAGGCCACCCUCGUCCACGUACUUCUCGCCACCAUGCGUGGACGCCGGUGAGGCCACCCUUCCCUCCACACACAGGUACUCCCCCGCCCCCUUCCAUGCCCUCUACCUUUCCCUAAUUUAGCUCUCUUCCCUGACCAUGUCUAUCUUCUACACAUAGAGAGCUGUGGUGGCUGGACACCAGGGUACCAAAUUGGAGGCUAAAUAAGCAUAUAUGUCCAAUUCUCAGACUAGAUUUUAAUGAAGGAAGUUGCAGUUCAUUACACUGCAAAUUAUGAAUAUGGAUCCAUCCUUCUGUGCUAAUGAAGGGGUGGAUGUAAUAAGGCUGCUGGCAAUGCAUGGAUGCUUAGAUGAGGUGCUAAGCACAUUAAAUAGCUUAGCAACUAUACUCCCCAAUGCAUAGGUGCUUAGCUUAUGGUUGCUAAGCUUGCUUCAUUUAAUGAUUUAACAACUAAAGCUCUUCAUGUAUUGGUGGGCUCCAUUCUUUUAAAUAUUUUGCCUAGGUUCACGUGCUUAGCAUUGGUUCUUCCUGAGGUCACCACACCCAUCUCUCCCCUCUUAAAUAACUUGCCACAUCAGAUUUUUUGCCUACGUGGAAGGCUUAGCACCUGUACAAGGUGGAGCAUUGGGAGGGGCCUAAGAAUUGUAUGUGACAAACGGGUGCUUCCUAUAGGUAUUCUUUCUUGCAUCCUAAUGUAUAGUAUACCUACCUUUUACGACCGCGGAAUCUUUUUCCAUGACUAGAUUGGCUCUCUCACUUUUCUCCUGUCCAUGCUUUUCCAAAUAUUUCACAUCUGAUGUUCUGCUUCCGCUUGUCUAUAUCACGGUGCGCACUGCCCAUGGAGCUUCAGAUGAACCAGUUUACUUUUAGCGGUGCAUUCCACAAUAGCGGCUCUCACAUUUUUUUCACAUGUUUUAAAAUAUGCAUAUUUUGAUGUACUGGUUGCAGUAACAGAGCUGAAUCACUCGUUGUAUGCUACUUCAUAUUUGCAUAUCCCCUUUCUUACAAGCUACCAUAGGGGCGUGCAUCAUGCUAUAAGUUUAUACUACAAUAAUUACUCCCAGAUUGAAUUUUGUGUCCACUAUAGAAUCUUCAAAAAAGAAGUCUAAGAAAAACUAAACGGUCAUCUUAAUGGGACUUAAUAUAUCCAAAAAGCGCAUGACUCAAGUUCCAUUACUUACAUUUAACAUCUCACUUGCUGCACUCAUCUUCUGUUUAGCUCUGCUUUUCCAUCUAGCUUCACUUAGCAUUUUAUUCUGAUCGCAAUCUAUGCUGUUCAAGCAUGAUUAUCUCCUACAUAAACAUGCUCCAUUACAUGCUUUUACAAAACUGAAUCAAAAUAAACUAACUUCAUUUAAGAAAUUGUUUUCACACUGACAGGAGACAUGUAACUCAGAGCAUUUCAUUUCCAUCCACUGCUCUGUAUCUUCGCCUUUCAUGUUACAAUUAAAUUCAUCCACUGCAGUAUUAACUAUUUUCCCUUACCACAGAAAAGAAAUGGCAAGGAAACAGAGGGCGCAGGACUACUAGAGGCAAAGACAGACGGACGCGGUCGGAGCAGUAUGGCAGCGUCGAUGGGGAUGGAGGAGCGCACAGAGAUGCUGCGGAGCACUGCUGAUGAGCUUGUCGGCAGGACGAGCUGCACUCACUGCUGCACGGCAACCCCGGCCCGGUCUGCUUCGACAGGUUUGAGCCCUCCGUCACCGACCGCGUGCACAUCUAGCAGGGUGUUGGGAAGGUGAUCAAUGUGAACAAGAUGGUCAGGGCCAGAUAUAGAGUAAAAAUCCUAAUAGCGGACCAGAGGACCGGAGUGAAGGACUCGGCAAGAUAAGGACGUCGGUCGCCAAUUCACUGUGAUUGAGAUCCGCGUCGUAACCAGAGAGCAGUUGGACCAUGACAAGGACGUCGCCAUCGGCUAAUCCGCCAUGUGGGAUUAUUGUUUGACCUUUCACAGUUCCUCCAGGUGUCCAUAACAUCAAGCAUAAUUUUGAUGUUUCUUAACCUUUUGCAUUCUACUCUAAUCAUGUGUGCUGACAGAUUAAUCUAAAGCAUCAAGAUCUGUAAGUGCUCGUGGGUCCUCAAGGUGCUGGUUCGUGAGCUCAGUUUGUUUGGGACAUCGAAGGUUAUCUUGGGCGAUGUGCAUCAACAAAGAAGUUUACAAUUGCAAUGAGAUUGUUUUGAGGACAAAUCUACCGACCGAGGAGCACGCUAGCCAGGUAUACACAGGAGAAGUGUAUGAACUGUCUGUGCAAACCAUAUGUGAAUCUGAACCCUUCUUAGUGGAGGCAGUAAUUGCCAACUUGAAAUACAUAGCACCGCAUCCCAACAGUAAAACCAGGGAAAAAUGAUCUAGGUUGGAAUAUGGGGUCAAUGCUAGAGAAGACGGUGAAGCAUUCAUGUGCAUGUGCAAGGAGCAGGAGAUCCUGUGUUGCCAUGCCGUCAAGGUGAUGAUCCACCUGGGUGUGCGUGAGAUACCAAGGUUACAUGUUGUGCCACCAAGUUGCCACAGAGCCCUGGUGAAUCGCAGAUGGAUAGUGAGCUAUGAAAGCACUCCGUGAUGCAUGUUAAGUUCUGAGACCUGGCGCAUGACCCUUGUGAUGAUGAAGGGUCCUGGGCCUACAAAGUUGUCAUGAAGGGCCUCGACAGACUGAACCCAGACCUAGCCGCGCCAAACGCCGUGCCCCGCCGCUACAACAAGCCAACAUUACGGUAGCCGAGGAUCCUCAUUUAUUCCAAAAGGUGCCGAAUAUGGUUGACUAACUCCAGUCCAUGAGGAAGUAAAGGACAUAUAUUCAACUUACUAUGUCUAUUACGAACAGAGUUCCCUGGAAAUGUGUCAAAACAAAUAGCUGAUAACCAGCAAUUUUCCACCAAUGGAAGCCCCGUGUGAUUUAGGUACCAUUUGCUCUCUUGGAUUUUGUUAUUUAGCCAUGUCAUGUUAAAUAUUACGCGGCUUGCUAAUGUUAUAUAUUUAGUCGCUUAUAUGAUGUCUGUUUGGUCGUUGCUCUAGCCUCAGACCCAAGAAAUUUGUUUGUUUGUCCAUUUGACCAAAAUAAUCUGUGUUGCUUUAAAGUCCAGUAAACAAAGAAACAACUUCGAUGCAUGUAUAUGCCUUUCAGUUUCACUUGCAUCCAAUAAAUAUAAUUAUGACACUUGUUGUCUUGCUGUGUUGUUCAAUUAUCGCCAGGAUGUUAACAAGCCCAUUAUAUAUCCUUGGUAAACCACAUGAUACUGUUUCCUAAUCACAUGUUUUUCCUACACAAACUAUACGAGUUUUAUGCAAAGGUAUCAUCUAAAAGGAAUUAUGGGCUUCAUAUAUGCUCCAGUAUCAUAGUAUUUUUCCAUGGUUCAUGGCAAUAAUUUCUCUACUUGGGAUUCCAUAGAAUUCUUUUGGUCUGCAUAGUUUUGUUUUUACAGUUGAAAAAAACUAAUAAAUUAACAAGACCUUUUAUGCAUAAUUAUGUUGCCAUGAUAUGCAUAAUUAUGGUAGUUAGCAUAGUGACUUUGACACUUUUUAGAUAUGCUCCAACCUUGAGUUUACUCAAUCUCGCAUUAGCCUAUUGUGUUUGAAAUUUGCUUACAUGAAAACAGAUGUUGAAUUUUCCUUUGAUUUAUCAUUUGUCAGUUUUUAUCUUUUUGAUAUUUGCAUGGGAUGGAUUUGAACUUCACUCUUGCUAAAGCCCUGUAUGCGAGUUUGUUUGAGUUACUUGUAGAACAAAUUAACAAGGCCUUCUUAGUUGGCAAGCGUCGAGUUGGGUGGUCAAUCAGUUUCCCCCUGCAUCUGCGAAGUGGCAGAAGAAGGCUACGAUGGAUGUGCUCAGGGCGUUGCCAUCUCCAUCCCCGCACCAUCUUUGUCACAUGCAGCAUCUGACUUACCUCCUCAAGGCAGGAGUGGCUCUUCAAGGAGAAUGAGAUUGAGGAUGGAGGCACUGAACCCGCAUGCAUGAUGACGAUGCAUAAAAGUCACGUCGGCGGCUCCUGCGGGUUGACGUUGGCCGCCAACAAUGACGAGGUCGGCGGCUUUGAUGUGGGGGUCAUCGACCUUACCUCUGACGGGAAUUAGUAAUCUUUUUCUUUGGUUUUUAGUUAUUAUUAUGCUCGGUGUCCCGCUUCUGCGUUGUAAAAAUAAAGUGGGAAUUAGUAAUCUUUUUCUUUGGUUUUUAGUUAUUAUUAUGCUCGGUGUCCCGCUUCUGCGUUGUAAAAAUAAAGUGCGUGUCCACUUUGAUAAAUACGGAUGUCCACGGACUUAGUUGGUGGUAUCAGUUUGGUGAUCCA
Triticum aestivum (bread wheat) is the source of this 4535-nucleotide long non-coding RNA. RefSeq lists it as uncharacterized. The record is from RefSeq and is a predicted model, not a curated record. Lineage: Eukaryota; Viridiplantae; Streptophyta; Magnoliopsida; Poales; Poaceae. The transcript is spliced from 6 exons.